AAAAACUUAGUUAAAAAAUAACAUUAAUUUGUCAAGUUAAAAUUAUCUAAGAGAUAGUUUUUA
This 63-nucleotide transfer RNA is filed under the name Miridiba trichophora. Its description in RNAcentral is "tRNA-Asp". Lineage: Eukaryota; Metazoa; Arthropoda; Insecta; Coleoptera; Scarabaeidae. The record is from RNAcentral.